Molecule: unclassified non-coding RNA, 183 nt
Filed under: uncultured Trichocomaceae
Lineage: Eukaryota; Fungi; Ascomycota; Eurotiomycetes; Eurotiales; Trichocomaceae
Description: sequence contains ITS1
Source: RNAcentral
CCGAGUGAGGGUCCCAGUGGCCCAACCUCCCACCCGUGUCUCUCGUACCUUGUUGCUUCGGCGGGCCCGCCGUUUACGGCCGCCGGGGGGCAUCUGCCCCCGGGCCCGCGCCCGCCGGAGACCCCAACAAUGAACACUGUUCUGAAAGCCUGCAGUCUGAGUUGUGAUUAUUGCAAUCAGUUA